Molecule: ribosomal RNA, 449 nt
Filed under: uncultured bacterium
Lineage: Bacteria
Description: bacterial SSU rRNA
Rfam family: Bacterial small subunit ribosomal RNA
Source: RNAcentral
UCCAGACUCCUACGGGAGGCAGCAGUGGGGAAUAUUGCACAAUGGGGGAAACCCUGAUGCAGCAACGCCGCGUGAAGGAAGACGGUUUUCGGAUUGUAAACUUCUGUUCUUAGUGAAGAAGAAUGACGGUAGCUAAGGAGCAAGCCACGGCUAACUACGUGCCAGCAGCCGCGGUAAUACGUAGGGGGCAAGCGUUGUUCGGAAUGACUGGGCGUAAAGGGUGUGUAGGCGGUGUAGCAAGUUAGAAGUGAAAUACCUAGAGCUUAACCCAGGUGCUGCUUCUAAAACUGCUAUACUUGAGUGCAGUAGAGGAAAGUGGAAUUCCUAGUGUAGCGGUGGAAUGCGUAGAUAUUAGGAGGAACAUCAGUGGCGAAGGCGACUUUCUGGACUGUAACUGACGCUGAGGCACGAAAGUGUGGGGAGCAAACAGGAUUAGAUACCCUUGUACC